CCUACGGGAGGCAGCAGUGAGGAAUAUUGGUCAAUGGACGCAAGUCUGAACCAGCCAUGCCGCGUGCAGGAAGACGGCCCUAUGAGUUGUAAACUGCUUUUGUACGAGGGUAAACGCAGAUACGCGUAUCUGUCUUUAAGUAUCUUACGAAUAAGGAUCGGCUAACUCCGUGCCAGCAGCCGCGGUAAUACGGAGGAUUCAAGCGUUAUCCGGAUUUAUUGGGUUUAAAGGGUGCGUAGGUGGUCGGAUAAGUAAGAGGUGAAAUCCCGAGGCUCAACCUCGGAAUUGCAGUUGAUACUGUCAGGCUAGAGGGUAGUAGCGGUGGGCGGAAUGUGUGGGGUAGCGGUGAAAUGCUUAGAGAUCAUGCAGAACACCGAUUGCGAAGGCAGCUUACCGGGCUACUACUGACGUUGAGGCACGAAAGCGUGGGGAUCAAACAGGAUUAGAUACCCCAGUAGUC
This 460-nucleotide ribosomal RNA is filed under the name uncultured bacterium. RNAcentral describes it as "partial 16S ribosomal RNA". It matches the Rfam family "Bacterial small subunit ribosomal RNA", at positions 338 to 795 of the family's 1533-position model. The record is from RNAcentral.